Molecule: long non-coding RNA, 274 nt
Filed under: Bos taurus (domestic cattle)
Lineage: Eukaryota; Metazoa; Chordata; Mammalia; Artiodactyla; Bovidae
Description: long non-coding RNA NONBTAT026734
Source: RNAcentral
GGAUUACUAGGUGGGGGAGGGGCGUUGCUAUGGUGAUCGGGAAGGGCGGGGUCAGAUCUGAAUCGCCGCUAUGAGUCACCCGGGCGCUGCCUGGGAAGGGCAGGACUGGGGUGGUGACCAUGCUAACAGCCGGGUGGGAUUUCGCGACAUCGUGGACUGGAGGGACUUUGUGUCUAUGGCAACGAUCGCCUGGCAGAAGGGGCAGAACUAGAUCUCUUCACUUGAGACGCUGACAUUCCAGGCCCUUGUCCUGCAGGCUCCCGCGGGCGGACAC